AACGAACGCUGGCGGCGCGCUUAACACAUGCAAGUCGCGCGCGGGGUUUCGGCCCCGAGCGGCGCACGGGUGAGUAACGCGUGGGAACCUGCCCCGGGGUUCGGGAUAACGGCGGGAAACCGCCGCUAACACCGGAUACGGCCGCGUGAGCGGCGAAAGCUUGCGCCCCGGGAUGGGCCCGCGUCCGAUUAGCUGGUUGGUGGGGUAACGGCCCACCAAGGCUUCGAUCGGUAGCCGGUCUGAGAGGAUGAUCGGCCACACUGGGACUGAGACACGGCCCAGACUCCUACGGGAGGCAGCAGUGGGGAAUCUUGGACAAUGGGGGCAACCCUGAUCCAGCGACGCCGCGUGGGUGAUGAAGGCCUUCGGGUUGUAAAGCCCUUUUGCCGGGGACGAUGAUGACGGUACCCGGCGAAUAAGCACCGGCUAACUCCGUGCCAGCCGCCGC
RNAcentral lists this ribosomal RNA (448 nucleotides) under uncultured bacterium. RNAcentral describes it as "bacterial SSU rRNA". It matches the Rfam family "Bacterial small subunit ribosomal RNA", at positions 28 to 518 of the family's 1533-position model. The record is from RNAcentral.